This 377-nucleotide RNase P RNA is filed under the name Chloroflexota bacterium. Its description in RNAcentral is "RNase P RNA component class A". It matches the Rfam family "Bacterial RNase P class A". Rfam says of the family: Ribonuclease P (RNase P) is a ubiquitous endoribonuclease, found in archaea, bacteria and eukarya as well as chloroplasts and mitochondria. Its best characterised activity is the generation of mature 5'-ends of tRNAs by cleaving the 5'-leader elements of precursor-tRNAs. Lineage: Bacteria; Bacillati; Chloroflexota. The record is from RNAcentral.
CGAGGCGGUCGGAUGGCCGCGCGAUCGAGCCGGGGCGACCCGUCAUCGAUCGUGAGGAAAGUCCGAGCUCCUCAGCGCAGGGUGGCGGGUAACGCCCGUCCGUCGCGAGACGAGGACCAGUGCCACAGUGACGAUGCCGUCGACCGACCUACGGGCCGGCCGGUGGAGUGAAACGCGGCAAACUCCACCCGGAGCAAGGCCAAAUAGGAGGGCGCAACCAGGAUCGGGUGACCGGUCCGGGGGAGAGGUGCGCUGCCCAGCCCUCGGGUCGGCCGCAUGAGCCGUCGGGUAACCGGCGGCCUGAGAUGGAUGGCCAUCCUCGGCGCGCACAUCGUUGCGCGACGGGACAGAACUCGGCUUACAGACCGCCUCGCUGG